UGGGGAAUCUUGCACAAUGGGGGCAACCCUGAUGCAGCGACGCCGCGUGAGCGAUGAAGCCCUUCGGGGCGUAAAGCUCUUUCGACCGGAACGAUAAUGACGGUACCGGGAGAAGAAGCUGCGGCUAACUACGUGCCAGCAGCCGCGGUAAUACGUAGGCAGCAAGCGUUGUUCGGAGUUACUGGGCGUAAAGAGUGCGUAGGCGGUUUUCUAAGUUCGGUGUGAAAUCUCCCGGCUUAACUGGGAGGGUGCGCCGAAGACUGGGAAGCUGGAGUGUGGGAAAGGCAGGCGGAAUUCCUGGUGUAGCGGUGAAAUGCGUAGAUAUCAGGAGGAACACCGGCGGUGUAGACGGCUUGCUAGACCAUAACGGACGCUGAGGCACGAAAGCGUGGGUAGCAAGCA
This 402-nucleotide ribosomal RNA is filed under the name uncultured bacterium. RNAcentral describes it as "bacterial SSU rRNA". It matches the Rfam family "Bacterial small subunit ribosomal RNA", at positions 355 to 774 of the family's 1533-position model. The record is from RNAcentral.